GAANNCANCCUUUUGAGCUCGGUCUCGUGGGUUUUGAAGAGUUUCAAAGCCUUCGGCAUUCGCGGGAUUGGGAUCUCUUGGCGUACUUUUUCGUACGGUUAGUCAACAUCGGUUUUGAAUGUCAUAAAAUGACUGGAGGAAUGUAGCUUCGAUCUCGUAUUGAAGUGUUAUAGCCUUUGGUAGAUGUGAUGUUUGAGACCGAGGAUUGCAACGGAUACCCUUCAGGGCUAUUCGUCUGAUCUCUGAUACGUUGCCUUGAUGUUGAAA
This 267-nucleotide ribosomal RNA is filed under the name Funneliformis mosseae. Its description in RNAcentral is "partial large subunit ribosomal RNA". Lineage: Eukaryota; Fungi; Glomeromycota; Glomeromycetes; Glomerales; Glomeraceae. The record is from RNAcentral.